AAACUAUGAUGAGGACAGAGACGCUGCAAUUGAACCGCUCCCAAGCUUCAUAUAAAGACUCACCAGGAUCUUGGGUGAAAGUAACUAUGACAUGUCUCAUAUC
This 103-nucleotide small nucleolar RNA is filed under the name Beta vulgaris subsp. vulgaris (sugar beet). RNAcentral describes it as "Plant small nucleolar RNA R71". It matches the Rfam family "Plant small nucleolar RNA R71". From Rfam's summary of the family: R71 is a member of the C/D box family of snoRNAs containing the C (UGAUGA) and D (CUGA) box motifs. Multiple nearly identical copies of this snoRNA have been identified in Arabidopsis, and it is thought to function as a 2'-O-ribose methylation guide for 18S ribosomal RNA. Lineage: Eukaryota; Viridiplantae; Streptophyta; Magnoliopsida; Caryophyllales; Amaranthaceae. The record is from Rfam by way of RNAcentral.